AAACAUGCAGCAAAAAUUGAUCAAUCAUGUAUACUUACCAUAUCAAUCAUGCAUACUUACCAUUUCAACCCCCCACUUAAUCUAUGAUUGUCUUCAAGCAUGUUUUAUAUGCAAUAAAGCACAGUAACCUAAACAAAAAGUAAAGAGAAAGGUUAAUAAUACUCCCCAUGUAUUUCUAACGAUGUUGUCAGCGUUGGGGUUUUUAUUUGGGUUAGGGAUGUUGAGUUUCAUUUGUAGGGAAAUAAAUUGUAGCACUUGGAACGGCGUGCCAAUGCCACCAUCAGUAUCUGAUUUUGGGAAAAUUAGCAACCUCCAUUACAUACUUGAAAAUAACACAUUAACCUGAUUAAAUAAUAAUCUAGUUAUUAUUCAUUUUAUUUUCAAUCCAAAUUAAACUGGAAUUCAAAAAUUUUAAUAUAUUAAAAAUAAAUUUGGGUUGCCUCCCAAAAAGCGCUUUUGUUUAAUAUUGUUAGCUCGACGACCUUAAAUGUUAUCUGUUCGACUCAUUGAGAAUUAGUUUUUCCAUCCCGUGCACUUGGAUGUUCUUGCAGAAAGGUUUUGACCUUUGCCCACUGUCCUUGAAGCACUUCCAGGAUUCCCCUAUCAUUAGUGGAUUAAGGCAUCUUUAAGCUUCUCUAUUCAAGUUUGUAUUUUCCUCUGUCACAAUCCUUGUAUGUUCUGAAAACGGUUUGAGCUCUAAUUUUGAGACUUUCAUGACAGCUUCAUGUAUUGAUUUUUUGAUUAUCGAUAAUUCCUCUUGCUUAACAUCGAGAUCUCCAUUCCUACAAGGCACGAUUUGUAACUUAUCACUGGGAUGUCCUAUAUCCUUAUAAACAUUAAACCUAACCACUUAUCUAUCCAUGAUGAGUGUUCCACUCUAAACAUCAACUUUCGUUCGCGUGGUACUUAAGAAUGGUUUUCUAAGAAGUCUGUCAGACCAAUUGGCCGAGUUGUCAUCCUCUAUGUUAAUAAUGUAGAAGUCUGUAGGAAAUAUCAAUUCGUUUACUUUAAUAAGAACGUUCUCCAGCACUCCUUUCGGAUGCACUACAGAUCUAUUUGCAAGUGGAAUAAUUACAUCUAUUUCCUUCAAAUGACCCGCAUUAAGUAGUUUAUAAAUUGACAAAGGCAUAACAUUAAUUGAUGCGUCUAAGUCACACAUGGCUUUUCUAAUAUUGUCACCACCUAUUUUGCAAGACAUGGAAAACAUGCAUUGGUCCUUACAUUUAGGUGGUAUUUUCCUUUGUAAAACGAUGAAGACAUUUUUUUCUACACUCACCUUUUCAUUGCCCAAGAGCUUCCUCUUACUUGUGCAUAAUUCUUUUAAGAAUCUUGCAUAUCGUGGAAUUUGCUUAAUCGCGUCAAGAAGAGGUAUGUUGAUUUCUACCUUUCGAAAGGUGUCAAAGAUCUCUUUCUCUUCUCACUCAUUGCAUUGGACAAGUCUUCCAGGAAAUGGAGGUGGUACUGUAAAUAAUUUUUGUGGUGCUGACUCCACUAGAGCCUUUGAAUCAAGUUUCUUCUCAUCUCAGCCAGCGUCGUGGGUACAACUCGUGCCAGGUAUGGGUUCCAAAACUUUUCCACUCCUCAAUGUCAUAGCACUUACAUUGUGUUGAAAUUAGGCUGAGUUGGGGACGACAGCUUACUUUGAGACUCCAAACGGCUAACCAUGAGUGCAAGCUUGCUCACUUGCUUAUCUAACUCCUGCAAAUGUAUUUCAAUUUUUUGCUGAAACUUCUCAGCACUAUUGGCUAGCCUUUCCACUAUGGCUUCCAAAGAUAACUUUAGGGCAGUAAUUGUUUAUUCAGAGGCAGCCUUUGGUCGUAAGGUUAAUUAAACUGAUGAUUCGACUCAUAACUUAGGUUUAGGUAAUCCUUCCACCCCACAUUAUAUGAGUUCUAGUAGGGGUCAUAUCACCUUUGGGGCGGUCCUGAAAAGUUCCCAACAAUAUUUGCUUGUUCUAUCGAAUCCUCAUAUAAAAUUAGACAUGAGACCGUCGGGUGGUUUGGCUUAGCGUAGAUUCUGCAUAACCUUGUUGGGCUAGUUUUAUCUAUAAGAAAAUCUUGAACAACGUUAGCCAGCUUAUCAAUUUUAUCUUUUACAAAUAGAGAACUUAGCCCAUAAACCCGUCUCGUAGGUUCUGUGGCCGAUCAGAAUUGUUGAGAGUUAGCAGUUAUUGUCGAAAUCAACUCUCGUGCUCUCUGAGGAGUCAUAUUAACUAAUACCCUUCCACUUGUAACAUCUAUCAUUUUCAUUUCCAUCAAGAGCAACCCUUCAUAGAAAUACUACAAUAGUGAUUAUUCAGUCAGUCUAUAUUGUGGGCAACUUGCACACAAAUUUUUGUACCGCUUCCAAUAAUCAUAGAGUGAUUCAGUCUCGUUCUGAUAGAUUCCUACAAUGUCUCUACUUAGUUCAGCCGCUCAAGCUGUAGCGAAGAACCUGUCAAAAACAAACGAGACAUGUCAAACCAUGUGUUGACAGAUCAUUGAGGUAAAUAAAAUAACCACUCUCUAACUGAGUCGUCUAAUGAGAAAGGAGAAGCACGAAGUUUAAUUUGGUCUUCGGUUACUCCCUAAGGCUUUAUGCUUGUGCAUAACAUAUGGAAAUAUUUGAUAUGGGUGUGUGAAUUUUUGUUCUGUAGUCUACGGAAGGUGGGUAGUAAAUGAAUCAAACCUGACUUCAACUCAAAUGACGUUCCUCCCACGGAAUAGGUUAUACAUAAGGGUUGUUGUUCAUCUGAUUCUGCUACGAGUUGGCGUAUAGUUUGUUCAACAUCUCGUUUAGUUCGUCGAAUGAGAAACUUUCCUUGUUGUAAGAUAUGGUUUCGAAUCCGGGAUUUGGUCGUUUAUCGCGUCGAAUGGCUUUUUUUCGUAGUUGUUGGGCCAAUUUCUCAAUUUUUGGUUUAAACUCUAGAGUUCUCGAUUUUGAUCUGGUCAUAAGGUAAACAAGAAAAUUAGAAAAACAUCUCCAAUCCCCUGUAACGGUGCCAAAAUUUGACGGUCGUCGAAACCACAAAAAAUAAUUCAUAUAAUUAAAAUAAAUCUAAAUAGUAGUAAAGAGUGGUAGUAGGGUCUAGUCCAUAGGGAUUGGUAUUAUAAUCAACUUUUGCGUUUAACCUGUGAUAAAAAAUUCCAUCGUGUCGAUAAUUAUGGCAAUAGUCAUGCCUACGACUCCAAACAGACCUGCUGAAAAAUAAACAAAUAAAUCAAGGAAGUUUUGAAAUGUUUAGAAAUUAAAUAAUUGAAACAACAUAAAUAAACAAUUAAAUAAAUUAAAAUAAAUUAAAUUGGGAAAUAAAUUCAGAUUUUGUAAAUAGAGAUAAUAAGCCUUAGCUCUAGACUCAGUGAAUUCCGGAUUUAGAAUCAAUCCUCGAAAAUUAAUUUUCUCCUCCAAACAAUAAGUUGGUAUAGUAGUUAAGAACAUCCUAACCGCUAAUUCUUCCUCUCGUAGUUGGUCCCGGUACGACCUGCAAACCAACCAUUACCAAUUAUCUAACCAAGAUACACGUGUUCUCGAUUCAAGAUUCCGACAGUCUUGUGCUCUAAAGAACCCAACUCGGAUUGACAGCCUCAACCGCGCAGGUCGCUUAAACUCGACCACUUCUCUCUUGAUUUGUUCUCGGAGAUCAGAAUACAACACGGUUGACUCGUUUCCCCAACUAUCUGCAAACAUGACUCCAACCUAACGCGCUUUUUGAUUUAAAAUCGAGUUAACUUUAAGGGAUAAAUUGUCAAUUCUGAUACUUAGGAAAAAUGUGACUACCGAUUGGAAGAAUUUUUAGUAUGGAUGUGUUUCUCACAAUUCUUGACCAGAAAGAAUACCCGCCUAAAGCCAAGUUAGAAUUUAGUGAAGCAUGAUUUUAUUCAUGCUUUGGUUGGCUAUGAGUGGAUUUGAAUGAAAAUGGUAGAAAUUAGGAAAGCAAGGGGCUUGGAAAGUAAUUAAACAAAUUUUGCAAAAAACAAUGAAAUGAAAAUGGAAUUGCAGUAGCUAUUGACACACAAAUUUGGAAAGAAAAUAAAAUAAUUCUUAUUUAAUCCAAGUGAAAUCAAGUGUCUCCUUAAGCUUCCAUUAAGUCCCCUAUUUUUAUACAUAGGAUUUACUAAAUUUGGCCUAACUACCCACUACAUAAUUAAAAUUAAAUAAAAAAUAAAAUCAAUUUUUUUUUCUAAUUUUAGGUUUUACAAAGUCAAAAGAAAUUUGAUGAGUCCUUGACUAUCUCCACGUUUUUUAUUCGGCCCCACUUUAUUGACUGUGCUGCAAAUUAGUCAUUUUCUGCUCUUUUUUAACUCAUAGCAUCCCAAUUGCACUCCUGAUAGGACUAAAGUAUAAAAUCACUAAUUUAGCAGGGAUCAAUUCAAGAAUUAACCAAUUUAAACAUAAAAAAUAUUUAAAUUUAACAUGUUAUCACUUAGUAAUAAUUUGAAGAGUUAGAUGGAAUUAACGACGUAUUAACAUCAAAUGUUGAACAAUUCUCAAAAGUACAUUUCUACUAAAUAGAAAAUGCCAAUAGUUAAUUGACAAAUUUUGUUCUGCAACUAUACCAAACUAGAAUAAAUAUAGUAAAUUAAUAAAUUUUAAUAAAAACUAUCAUCAAUAAUAAUUUGACUAAGAUUUUUAAAUCAGAAAGAUAAAAACUUUAAUUUUUUUAAACAUAGAAAUUAAUAGCAUGUUUGAAAAGAAAUGAGACAUUGAAAUUUUCUUAUUUUCCAUGAUUAUUAAGGCUAUAAAGGGGUAUGGUCAUCUCAAUCAAAACUCCACCUUGCAUUUCCCUAGAUUUAAGUGAUAGUGUAGAAGCAAGAUUGUUGAUCAUUUCCAGGUGGGGAUAAUUACAAAGUUAGAUUCACUUUCUAUAACAUUCAUUCUUCAUCAAAAGGUUAAAAAACUAAUGCACCAGUUCAUCAAUGUUCCAUUUAAAAGAAGAGAUAAAGAACAAGCUAUUACUCUAUCAAACCCAACAGUCAACCUUAAAAACCACCACGAAACAAAGCUAGACGGAUGGGCAACCAACCCAAAUCUCUCUCCAUUUCUAGUAAUCGAAAUAGAUAUAAACUUGAGUUCGUUCCCAGUUUCCAUUGAAAAAGAAAACCUCACAGAAGAAAAAAAGAUACAAAAUUUGUUCAUUAAGCUGUGAAAAUAAAUUCCUAAAGUGAAAAUAAAAUUCCUAGUUUCCAUUCGAAUUAGGUACAGUUCAGGUGACCAAACAAAAGGAUACUAAAACAUAAUCAAAACACAAAAUUUUCCUUCAUUUUCUUGGUGACCAAACAAAAAGAAGAAAGUGAAAAGGAGAUUUCUUACAUGAGUCGGUUGAGGAAGUUAGGUAGGCGCCGACGACAGAGGAAGCAGGUGAGAGGUGGAGAUGAAGGAGGUGAGUGGAGCCGACUUAGGGAUUUUGGUUUUGGAAUUGGGAAUAAGGGGGAGGAGGGCACAAAACUAAAACUAAAAGUAAAG
Molecule: long non-coding RNA, 5442 nt
Filed under: Gossypium barbadense (sea-island cotton)
Lineage: Eukaryota; Viridiplantae; Streptophyta; Magnoliopsida; Malvales; Malvaceae
Description: long non-coding RNA (GBAR_LNC022418)
Source: RNAcentral